RNAcentral lists this transfer RNA (68 nucleotides) under bovine gut metagenome. It matches the Rfam family "tRNA". Rfam says of the family: Transfer RNA (tRNA) molecules are approximately 80 nucleotides in length. Their secondary structure includes four short double-helical elements and three loops (D, anti-codon, and T loops). Further hydrogen bonds mediate the characteristic L-shaped molecular structure. tRNAs have two regions of fundamental functional importance: the anti-codon, which is responsible for specific mRNA codon recognition, and the 3' end, to which the tRNAs corresponding amino acid is attached (by aminoacyl-tRNA synthetases). tRNAs cope with the degeneracy of the genetic code in two manners: having more than one tRNA (with a specific anti-codon) for a particular amino acid; and 'wobble' base-pairing, i.e. permitting non-standard base-pairing at the 3rd anti-codon position. The record is from RNAcentral.
UGACGUAGCUCAGUCGGUAGAGCACAUCCUUGGUAAGGAUGAGGUCAUGGGUUCAAGUCUCAUCGUCA